Molecule: long non-coding RNA, 1601 nt
Organism: Bombus huntii
Lineage: Eukaryota; Metazoa; Arthropoda; Insecta; Hymenoptera; Apidae
Exons: 2
Source: RefSeq, a predicted model, not a curated record
UCUGGAUUGUGUGUUCGUCGUGCUUGUGUUCGGCGGUGGGUGAAUUCGCGCGAAAAGCACGCGCCUCGAAGAACGUGCUUUGCUUUCAUUCAUCUGUCGGCGGUUAUCCGCGCAUAUCACCAAGAAACGACGAAAAAUCGGUCCGGCGAUACGCGUCAUCUCUUCUCCUCACUCUUCAACUCUUCUUCCUUUCUCGUGCUACACGGCGGCCUCUCGACGGUUAGUCAGUCAGUCAGUCAGCCAGCCAGCCAGUCGUAUUCAGUGCCGGUAGAUGCGCUCGUUGUGCGCUCAUGCCACGUCCUGCGCUCGAAAAAUUACUCGCUGCGCGUGUCCAGCUAUAAUCGAGACAAUUCGAAUUCAUAUGUGAGUCGUAUAUUUUUCAAUAUCUCUCGUUCGAUCUCUACAUCAAUCGAGACUAUCAGAUUGGUCCAUUAGCUCGCGCAGUUUUUCGUAAAUCGUGGAAACUGAAAGUUGUUCGUGCGUUUUCAUUCAUUCUUUGAUUAGAGAGUUUCCUUGUUUCUUUACAGUAAUUAAUCUGUGAGUCGUAUGCUUCUUGUGAAUGUGAAAAUUUCUAUUUCUUCAUUAUGUACUAUGUAUUACAAUUGUCGCGAAAAUGUUCAGUUUUACGUAUGAAGAAUUUGGUUAUUUUUUCUCACAAGCAAGUUCAUAUGUCGAGUUUUGUUUGCUUUGCGAAUCGUGAACCGUAGAGCUUCUCCAUUGUGUAUUUUCAUUCACUGCUUUUGAAUUCCUUGCGCCAAGAGGUUCUCGUGUUUCUCUUUUUCAACAUGAACCGGUGUAUAUGUCGUUACAGAAGACAUCUUUAUUGACAUGUCGAUAUAAAGCUUCGUAUUUCACUGUUAAUCUACAGGAAGGAAGUAAAUGUUAUCGAACAAUGUAUAACACAUCGGAUAGGAAAAUUUUGUGAGAUAAAUUAAAUUUGCAUGAAUCGUACAAUAUACAGUACAAUAUAAAAAUAUGGUAUUAUCGAUUAGUAAUAAAAAUUCGCCAUUAACGAGUUUCGUUCGACUCUUAUGAACUGUGCAACACAUAAAUCGAUUUGAAAAUGACAUUAUCGAUUGACGUAAAAAAUUCGAUUUUAUGACAUAUUUUCAACUUCCGUGAAGUAUGUAACGAUGAAGUUGUUUGCUAAUAACGGAAAUUCGUUUAACUUUCAUAUUUACAGAUUUAUGAUUCCGUAAAAGAAACAAGGCCUAUCAACGAGAUUUUCGUGAAAACAAGUCGUGGAUCGUAUUGUAGUAAAUAGAGAAUAGUCAAUUCGCAUAUGAACUUUGAGUGUCUCGAUUAUGCGUAAGUGAAUCGUGUCGUUAAUCGCUCGCGUUGGGAUUUUCUCGCGUUCUAACCUUAUUUCUUUAGCUAGUGGUGAUUCGAAUCGCGGUCUCGACGUGUUUUUGUGCGUUAGUGCGUGAGUGAGUGUAGCGUGCCCUAUUUAUAUCGCAGUGUGCGUUGACACACGACGUACGUCUAAUUAAGGGAGAAACUGCAGAUCAUCUUCUCCUGACCGGAUGCCAGACGAAACGACGGGCAUCCUUUGCACAGAGAUCAGCCAUGUCUGUUUCGUAGCGAAUCGGAAGUUCGCAGCA